ACAAGGUCUGGAAGGAAAACAAAUCUGGCCACCUGAGUUUCUUGGGUGACCACUGCAAAUGAGAUGAAGUCCAUAGUGUCAGUCCUGCUGGCCUACCUUGUCCUGGGGUCAAAGAGCUGUGAGUGUGAGGAAAGGAGGAUCAAGGCCAGGUGCCAACUCUCCCUCCCUCCCACAUGUUGGGGUGGCCUGGUGGAGCAUUUCACCUUCCUUGGACUCUUAGCAGAGAGCCUGUGCAGCAGGGUUUCUGAGGGUCUCACUAAAUUGCUGAGACUGGCCUCAAACUUGUGAUCCUCCUGCUUCAGCCUCCCAAGUCACUGGGAUAACAAAUUGUACCACUGUGCCCAGUGAAGCUCUGUUUUAUAAGCAUCCUGGAACACUUGAGAGGAAAUAAUUUGAUCACAAUAUGAGGACAUGGUCACUGCUAAAUGACAAUGGAGUUCCGGGGAAGUCAGUGCGACAGUGUGUUUGAAGGACUGCCCAUGACUAAAAUCCAAGCAGGAAGCAAGAGGAAGUUGAGCAAAGGGUUUGCUGGCUCACCUCAGCAGCCCUCCUCCCAGUUCUCCAGCCUCAACCUCUUGAAUCUCUGACCUGGAUAAUGUACCUGGCUUUGGACAGUUCUCCUGGUCUCUAGGCUCACUCAAUUCUGCCUAUUUUCCACAUGGCCACUAGAACGUCUUCAUACUUACCUGAGGGUGUCCCCCUCAGUUCUCGGCCUUCACUGAUUGUCUUUUGCCUGUGAAACAGUGUCCAGACUGGGUGAAGAAACUGAGGACCCACCACCAUCUGCUCACAGACUACAACCCAAAGUCCAGCCUUUGAGAAUAUUAUUGUUCCUCUGUCCCAUCCCAUAAACACCUCCUGUGUUCAGUCCCCCCUCAGAGUGCGCUUCCUCUGUCACACAGCUCUGGCCUUCUCAGACUGGCCUGUUCUAGGAUUAUUUAUGGGUGUGCUACAGCUCUUCCAGCAGUGGGAAGUCUGCUGCGUCUUGUUAAUUUUUAAUUUCCCCAUGGCAACUACUUCAGAGCUGCAUGUGUGACAUGUACUUGCCAGACACUCAAUUAAGCUUCAGUAAACAUUGGGAUGAAAAUGUGGAGGAGUUAAUGCAUGCAUUCGAUUAUUUUUUAUUUAAUUUCAAUACAGGAUCUUUCUAGGUUUUCCUGGCUGGCCCUGAACUCACCAUCCUCCUGACUCAGUCUUGAGUAGUUGGGAUUACAGAUGUGACACUGUCCCUAACUUUAAUGACUUAAAAAAAAUAAAACAAAAAACAAUAUCAUAGCUUUAUUCAAAACCACAGUUGCACAAAAGUAGUAACUUCAAAGUUUGAAAGGAGAGAUUCUCAAAGAACUUAACCACUAUAUACAUACUGCCAUACAAAUAGCAUUAAAAUAGGAUCUAAAACUUAUAUAAAAAUAGGAACCCCACUUAUUUAUUUGCAUGAAAAUACUAUCCACAAAACUAAAUAGGUUCUUAAAAGUUAUCUGGAGACUCACGAAGUGUUGUUCUCAAACCAAAGAACUCUAAUUUUGAUUGUACAAUAAGAUGAUUGAUAAGAAAGUCAAUGUGUAGAUUUCAUUUUAAAGAUAAGUAUUUUAUAAUCUGGCAUACUGUGUAAUGAGGAUUCUUAGAGACAAAAACAGGGCAUUUUGAUUGUUAAAAUUAGAAGAAAAAUGUUAAUCUUUUAUAGUUUCUGAUCUCCCUACUAAAUUUCUCCCAAAUGUUUUGUUUCAGUCAGUUUUGCAACCACUUUAGUUUUUCCACAAAUAACUUCAGUUUUUUUGCUUUAAAACACCAAGUCACAAAUUUUAAAGUAAAAAUUAGCAGCAGCAGUACUCUACUCAGUAAUUUAAAUGUGUCCCAGUGGAGAAGCAUAACUGCAAUCAAUUUGCUCACACUAACUUUAAAAAACAUUACAAAUACUCAAAACAAAGAAAAAAUUGUAGCCAGUUAUAAAAGCAAAUGCCUUGAACAUGGACCCUCCAGCGUGCUUGUCUAUUCAUCAUAUUUUACUUAGCAGCCAUGUAAGUGAGUGCACACUCACACUUAUCCCAAAUAUUCUCCUACUUUAAUGGACAUUAACUUGAAAAUAAAUCUUAAUAUUAAGUCCCAAAUAUUCUCCCAGUUGCCUACUAUAUUCUAAUUAAAUGCUAUAUCUGAUAAAAAAUUAUAGGAAGAAUAACUAAAGGUUCUACUCAGAAAAAUCAUAAAACUGAGCAGGGUUGGUAUCCAGAUCAUUUGAGAGGCCAACUUAAAAAUUUGACUGGAAUAUCUCAUUAAUUAUCAACAGGCAAUCAUUCUGACUUUUGAGGAACGUUGAUACUGCUUCCCAAAGCUUCCCCUGCUUCUUUUCUUUUUACUAAUAUGGUCUCACAUGUUGGCAGCCAAGAAGGAUUUGCAGUAAGCACAGCUUGCUACAUAAAACUGUAUCAAUAACAAUAUUCAGACCUCAGCCAAUUCUCAGAUUCUUCCACUUUGUUUAAAACUCAGAUGGGUCUGAAAAGGUGAUUGAGGUAUAAGGCUAAAGGUUUUCUGAAUAUCCACAAGUUUUUUCUGGGCUAGAGAGAGGGGAGUGAAACAAGAAGGGAAGGUAAUCAUAAAAAAAUGGCUGAGAGGAGAAAGAACAUACACCUAAAGCAAGAUAAACGACUGUUGGUGUGUCAUGGUCUGCAGCCUGAAGAAAGGACUUGCCUGCAUGUCUCUGCACUUCACAUAAGCAGUUUUUCUUCAAAAAUAAAAUCUUAUCAGUCACCACAA
Long non-coding RNA from Marmota monax (woodchuck), 2751 nucleotides. RefSeq lists it as uncharacterized. The transcript has 4 exons. NCBI's taxonomy places the organism in Eukaryota, Metazoa, Chordata, Mammalia, Rodentia, Sciuridae. The record is from RefSeq and is a predicted model, not a curated record.